Molecule: long non-coding RNA, 309 nt
Filed under: Prunus persica (peach)
Lineage: Eukaryota; Viridiplantae; Streptophyta; Magnoliopsida; Rosales; Rosaceae
Description: long non-coding RNA (PPER_LNC006984)
Source: RNAcentral
GUAAUAUAAUAAACUAACUGACUAAGCUAUGUGGUUUAGAACUCUCCUAUAUAUAGGCAGAGGCGGCAUUGAGCAGGAGCAAGGUGAGCAAUAGAUCAGGGCCCCUCCGUUUCAUGCAGCUGGCACUGUUCCAUCCAUGCAGCUGGCAGAGGACGCUUUCCUUGCGUACCAUGGCUAGUACCAGACUUGGCCACGCUUAGAGCACCUCCACCACUCCACCCAAACCUUGGCAACAGCCCCCCAAGCCUAGUUUCCCCCCUCCGUCGUGCAGCCUGAAGUCCGGGCAAGCCUUGGGGUCCACUAGCCCGG